CAAUAGCGUAUAUUAAAGUUGUUGCAGUUAAAAAGCUCGUAGUUGAAUUUCUGGUGGGCGCGCCGGUCUUCCAAGUGUUGUGCUGGGCGCAGUCCGCCAUCCUUGUGGAGAGGGCUCGCAUUGAGUUGCGUGUCGGAUCUGCAUCAUUUACUGUGAAAAAAUUAGAGUGUUUAAAGCAGGCUGUCGCUUGAAUACAUUAGCAUGGAAUAAUAAGAUAGGACUUCGGUCUAUUUUGUUGGUUGCGAACCGAGGUAAUGAUUAAUAGGGAUAGUUGGGGGUAUUCAUAUUUAAUUGUCAGAGGUGAAAUUCUUGGAUUUAUGAAAGAUGAACAACUGCGAAAGCAUUUACCAAGGAUGUUUUCAUUAA
Molecule: ribosomal RNA, 366 nt
Filed under: uncultured eukaryote
Lineage: Eukaryota
Description: partial 18S ribosomal RNA
Rfam family: Eukaryotic small subunit ribosomal RNA
Source: RNAcentral